GAGCUAAUCCAAUAUACCUCAUUUCUAUACUUUUGUGAAAUAUAAUUUCUCCACCCACUUGGACUUCUUUUUUCCCUCUCUCUCUCUCUCUCUAUAUAUAUAUAUGGUCUUGGUCUUCUUCUUCCUUCAUUCUUCUUUCUCUAUGGCCUCAUAUUUCCAUAUUGAACUUUUGAGUUUUAUGCAGAAAAAAAGAGACUAAAAUAGAAUUCUAGAAGUUAGAGAUACAAAUAAGAAAAAGGAUGACAUCAAAUUCGAAGUACUUUAUGUUUGGACCUCACAAGAUACAUGAAAAUUUUAUAUUUUACACCACCAAUCUUUCAUCUGCAAUGGUCAACCUUCGUCCUGGUCAUAUCCUUUAUCUCUUUUAUUAGUCAUACUCUUUGUGGGGGAAAUUAUUAAAGUUUGAGAUUGAAUUUCUCGUUAUUAUUUGAGAGUGAAAUUCAUAUAUUUAUUCAACUUUUGAAAGCAAAAUAAGUAGCUAUAUGUUUUUUAUCGAUAAACUUUGGGGAUUCUUCGAUGUUUUACAUCGGUCACUAGAAUUUUGAAUAUAGUUUUUGAACAUACUUGAUCGUAAGUUAGUUUAAUGAUAAGAUAAAGAUGAUGCAUGUCACACCUAAAUAUGAAUUAAAAUUUUGUUUUUAAUAAGUGAAAAAAUAUUUUUGUUUUUAAGCUUUUCGGUGUUUUCUAAGAAUAAUAAUAAAAGAAUAAACUAUUUAUACUUAACGGUAAAAAACUACUAAAAGACAAAAAUUCAAUUAAAGAUUUUGUUAUCAAAUACAAAAGUUUUGCCACUUUGUCAUUUUUGUUGAGAUUAAGGAAAGCACAGAAAGGACAGACUUUUUAUUUGUAAGUUAUUUAUACUUUAUAAAAAAAAGUCAAGUGUACUAUAUUUUUAUUAUUGAGUGAUUUGUAAAUAAUUUAUUUUUUAUUAAUUUUUUACAACACCCCUUCAAAAAAUGACAAAAGCAAAGUUAAAAUAUUUUUAAAUGACUUAUUUUCUUAUGUGGGUUAAAAUUGUUAGUCAAUAAAAUCUCAACGCACAACUUAUCCAUCACAAAUCUACAAAUAAAAGUAGAUUUUCGCCAAAGAAAAUGUUUAGUUCAACUAACAUUAAAGUACGAUAGAACUAAGAUGUUGACGAUUUAAAUCUCUACACCUUUAUUUGUAUUAAAAGAAAAGUACAUUUAGGAUAAUGAACGAAAGUAUUAAGUUCGAAGAAUUGUUUAAUCAAAAAUGGAAAAGUUGUUUUUGAGUUUAACAAAUAAAAACAUGUAUAAGUGAUCCCAAAGCGGAUGGUUAAGCGGUUUGGGGAUCUAAAUGGUGAAGAGGUAUGCGAUCUAUGGCUCACAGCUCAACUAAUUGGCGCUAAAAUGGAGCUCUUUCACAACGCUUCCUCCCUUACUUUAAACCUUCAAGAUGGGCCAGAAGCAGGACAAAGUGUAUCACAUGUUCACAUCCAUAUUAUCCCGAGGAAAGCUUGUGAUUUUAAGAGAAAUGAUGAUAUCUACGAUGCGAUGAAUGAAAAUGACAGAGAAUUAUCAAAGCAACAUAUUGAUUUGGAGGAGGAGAGGAAGGACAGAGGCUUUGAGGAGAUGAAAGAAGAAGCACUUCAAUACACAAAGCUUCUCUUGAUCUAGACAUUAAUGUAAUACUUAAUUAUGUGAUUAGGGUUGUGAGUUUGGUUGUGUCAAUUUUAAAAAAAAAACAUCAAAUUUAUGUAUAUAUUAUAGAUAUGAUAUGUCAAUAAAGUAUCGAUAUUCAUCGUCGUUUUA
Molecule: RNA transcript, 1772 nt
Organism: Cucumis melo (muskmelon)
Lineage: Eukaryota; Viridiplantae; Streptophyta; Magnoliopsida; Cucurbitales; Cucurbitaceae
Gene name: bifunctional bis(5'-adenosyl)-triphosphatase/adenylylsulfatase FHIT-like
Exons: 5
Source: RefSeq, a predicted model, not a curated record